This 465-nucleotide ribosomal RNA is filed under the name Vreelandella stevensii. RNAcentral describes it as "partial 16S ribosomal RNA". It matches the Rfam family "Bacterial small subunit ribosomal RNA", at positions 338 to 795 of the family's 1533-position model. Lineage: Bacteria; Pseudomonadati; Pseudomonadota; Gammaproteobacteria; Oceanospirillales; Halomonadaceae. The record is from RNAcentral.
CCUACGGGAGGCAGCAGUGGGGAAUAUUGGACAAUGGGCGAAAGCCUGAUCCAGCCAUGCCGCGUGUGUGAAGAAGGCCUUCGGGUUGUAAAGCACUUUCAGUGGGGAAGAAAGCCUUGGGGCUAAUACCCUCGAGGAAGGACAUCACCCACAGAAGAAGCACCGGCUAACUCCGUGCCAGCAGCCGCGGUAAUACGGAGGGUGCGAGCGUUAAUCGGAAUUACUGGGCGUAAAGCGCGCGUAGGCGGUCUGAUAAGCCGGUUGUGAAAUCCCCGGGCUCAACCUGGGAACGGCAUCCGGAACUGUCAGGCUAGAGUGCAGGAGAGGAAGGUAGAAUUCCCGGUGUAGCGGUGAAAUGCGUAGAGAUCGGGAGGAAUACCAGUGGCGAAGGCGGCCUUCUGGACUGACACUGACGCUGAGGUGCGAAAGCGUGGGUAGCAAACAGGAUUAGAUACCCUUGUAGUC